GAUGAAGAACGUAGCGAAAUGCGAUAAGUAAUGUGAAUUGCAGAAUUCAGUGAAUCAUCGAAUCUUUGAACGCACAUUGCGCCCGCCAGUAUUCUGGCGGGCAUGCCUGUUCGAGCGUCAUUACAACCCUCAGGCCCCCGGGCCUGGCGUUGGGGAUCGGCGGAGCCCCCCGUGGGCACACGCCGUCCCCCAAAUACAGUGGCGGUCCCGCCGCAGCUUCCAUCGCGUAGUAGCUAACACCUCGCGACUGGAGAGCGGCGCGGCCACGCCGUAAAACACCCAACUCUUCAGAAGUUGACCUCGAAUCAGGUAGGAAUACCCGCUGAACUUAAGCAUAUCAAUAAGCGGAGGA
RNAcentral lists this unclassified non-coding RNA (352 nucleotides) under soil metagenome. RNAcentral's name for it is "partial contains 5.8S ribosomal RNA, internal transcribed spacer 2, and large subunit ribosomal RNA". The stretch from base 1 to 120 matches the Rfam family "5.8S ribosomal RNA", at positions 35 to 154 of the family's 154-position model. The record is from RNAcentral.